Long non-coding RNA from Amblyraja radiata (thorny skate), 156 nucleotides. RefSeq lists it as uncharacterized. NCBI's taxonomy places the organism in Eukaryota, Metazoa, Chordata, Chondrichthyes, Rajiformes, Rajidae. The transcript has 3 exons. The record is from RefSeq and is a predicted model, not a curated record.
ACUUCAUUUCAUUCUCAGAAUCAAGCACAACAGCUGCCACUGCAUCGACUACGUCCGCCACUAGCAGCGAAACAACAGAACCAAGCAUAACAACUGCCACUGCACCGACUACGUCCGCCACCAGCAGCAAAACAACAGAACCAAGCACAACAACUG